AGUUUGAUCCUGGCUCAGGAUGAAUGCUGGCGGCGUGCCUAAUACAUGCAAGUCGAGCGGCAGCGCGUCUAGUUUACUAGAUGGCGGCGAGCGGCGGACGGCUGAGUAACGCGUGGGAACAUGCCCCAAAGUGAGGGAUAACGCACCGAAAGGUGUGCUAAUACCGCAUAUGGUCUUCGGAUUAAAGGAUUUAUCCGCUUUGGGAGUGGCCCGCGUACGAUUAGAUUGUUGGUGAGGUAACGGCUCACCAAGUCGACGAUCGUUAACUGGUCUGAGAGGAUGAUCAGUCAGACUGGAACUGAGACACGGUCCAGACUCCUACGGGAGGCAGCAGUAAGGAAUCUUCCACAAUGGGCGAAAGCCUGAUGGAGCAACGCCGCGUGCAGGAUGAAGGCCCUCGGGUCGUAAACUGCUUUUAUGAGUGAAGAAUAUGACGGUAACUCAUGAAUAAGCACCGGCUAACUACGUGCCAGCAGCCGCGGUCAUACGUAGGGUGCAAGCAUUAUCCGGAGUGACUGGGCGUAAAGAGUUGCGUAGGCGGUUAGUAAAGCGAAUAGUGAAACCUGGUGGCUCAACCAUACAGACUAUUAUUCGAACUCACUAACUCGAGAGUGGUAGAGGUAACUGGAAUUUCUUGUGUAGGAGUGAAAUCCGUAGAUAUAAGAAGGAACACCAAUGGCGUAGGCAGGUUACUGGACCAUUUCUGACGCUAAGGCACGAAAGCGUGGGGAGCGAACCGGAUUAGAUACCCGGGUAGUCCACGCCGUAAACGAUGGAUACUAGCUGUCGGGGGUAUCGACCCCCUCGGUAGCGAAGCUAACGCGUUAAGUAUCCCGCCUG
Molecule: ribosomal RNA, 840 nt
Filed under: uncultured bacterium
Lineage: Bacteria
Description: bacterial SSU rRNA
Rfam family: Bacterial small subunit ribosomal RNA
Source: RNAcentral